GCCCUAAUGAAGAGUCCCACAAUAGGACGAAACGGCCGUCUAGUGC
Molecule: non-coding RNA, 46 nt
Filed under: Schistosoma mansoni
Lineage: Eukaryota; Metazoa; Platyhelminthes; Trematoda; Strigeidida; Schistosomatidae
Source: RNAcentral